Molecule: long non-coding RNA, 1209 nt
Organism: Drosophila bipectinata
Lineage: Eukaryota; Metazoa; Arthropoda; Insecta; Diptera; Drosophilidae
Source: RefSeq, a predicted model, not a curated record
AGCUUUCACAAAAAUUCUACGACGUAACGUUAACCUGUUCACUUCCCUUCAAUCAUUCGCGUAAUAAACGUCUAGAGAUGGUUUUGAUACAAAAUGCCAAAGGAAAUGAAGGAAAUAUGAUUCGAUAUUGGAAGCCAUCGUUUUGGGAAAAAUAUGAAACACAAGACAGUUUAUCAAGAAUUGGAAAUUUUAUGAGUCCGUUGUGGAACCAACUCUUAAAUCUAUUUCUGUCUAAUAAGCAAAACUAUAAGCUGAAGUUUCUGGGGCCCUCAACUUGAAGUGACAAACUACUUAGGAUUUGCAAAAAAAAAAAAAAUCCCGAUGUCAUUCCCCUACAAGUAUAUAACUACAUACAUACCUACAUAUGUAUAUAUAGAAAAUAUGUGUAUGCAGAUGCGGCAAAAGAUUACAGCAGCUUAGGUUGGUCAUCUUGUAAGGCUCACAGCCUCGGAUCUCCCGCCGCUCCUUGACUGCCAUCUCUUUCGUACGCAAUACCGGCAUCUCUUUCGCCUGCCAUCCAUGUGGGCUAAUUACGAUCACACUUGGCUGAACCGCUGACCGCAGUUUUGGACCUGGAACAGCGAUUUCGAAUGGGAUUUGUAUGGCGAUUGGGUUUUCUCGAUGUCGCCGGUUUGUUGUAACACCUUCGGGCCGCAAAAGACAACAAAUUGAAAAAAAAAAGAAAAAAAUUCCAGUUGUUGACAACUUAAGUAAGGCGACACCCCAGGUAGAUGAUGUUCAGGUACUCAGGAUCUCCGCACAUUUAAAACUCAUCCUUUUCACAUUUGUGCGGUUGCAAAAUACACAAAAACAGAGGACACUACGAGAAAAUGAAGUGGAUUCUUGCACUGCGAACUGACUUUCUUCCAAGGGAAUCUAAUUAAAGAAAUAAUGCUGCAGCAACAGAACAUGCCACAAACCAUUACCAUUUCGGCUUUUAGUUAGAGAUAUUAUCAUAGCAAAUUGGAGUAGCUCAUUAUCGGGUGAUUGAGGUGCAGCUGGAUGCUGAAAAUCGAUUUAGGGCGAUCAAUGCUCGCAUCGCGCGAUCGAUUUAGGGCGAUCGCAUCGCGCACAACGGAAGAACAAUUGAAACCAUCCAGACAUAUAAAUACCUCUAAUAUUCUUGUAUAUUUACUCUUGUGUAUUGUAAUAUGUAUUCUUGUGUAUUCUUUCACCUGUGCAAUAAAUAGCGAUAAUUUGUGUGUGUUU